This 253-nucleotide ribosomal RNA is filed under the name uncultured bacterium. Its description in RNAcentral is "partial 16S ribosomal RNA". It matches the Rfam family "Bacterial small subunit ribosomal RNA", at positions 524 to 776 of the family's 1533-position model. The record is from RNAcentral.
UACGUAGGGUGCAAGCGUUGUCCGGAAUUAUUGGGCGUAAAGAGCUCGUAGGCGGUCUGUUGCGUCGGCUGUGAAAACCCGGGGCUCAACCCCGGGCCUGCAGCCGAUACGAGCAGACUAGAGUUCGGCAGGGGAGACUGGAAUUCCUGGUGUAGCGGUGAAAUGCGCAGAUAUCGGGAGGAACACCAAUGGCGAAGGCAGCUCGCUGGGACGGUACUGACGCUGAGACGCGAAAGCGUGGGGAGCAAACAGG